This is a long non-coding RNA of Homo sapiens (human), 1939 nucleotides long. RefSeq lists it as uncharacterized. The record is from RefSeq and is a predicted model, not a curated record. The transcript has 2 exons. NCBI's taxonomy places the organism in Eukaryota, Metazoa, Chordata, Mammalia, Primates, Hominidae.
CAAAUCCUACUCUUUGCUCAAAGCUCAGCUGGAGUCCUCCCUCAUCCCUGGACCCAGCCAGCGCCUAGCAUCCCUCCCUCUUUUGGACUCCAAUCACAUGGCUGUUCCACACCAGGAUUAGUGCUCUGUGGGCAGGUACCAUGUCUGAGUUAAGCUCCAUAGGGCAGGGAGUUGGUUUCAUGCUUUGUUUAUUAUUCCUAGCACCUGGAAUAGUACCUAGCACAUGACAGGCACUCCACAAACAUAGAAUCAAUGAAUAAAUCAGUGUCUCUCCUAAAAUGUCCAGGAAAGUACCCUGGCACAGAGACAGAACUCAUUAAUGAUUCUUGAACAAAUGGAUAAACUCAUGAAUCAGUGUCCUCUCAUUGGGCACUGGUCACAUUAUUGCAUUCUAUUUUUUUUCGCUUUGUAUUUGUGUGUGCUUCCUCCCUAACCUGCCUGUUAGCUUUUCAACAGCCAGGACUGAAGCAAGGAGGAUACCUGGGUUCCAUUUCUCCCUGCUAUAUGGAAUUAUUAGGCAUCAGGCUGUAUAUCUUGCACUCAGUAGGCCCUUGGUUGAUACUGGCUACACUAAAGGAAGGGCAGACCGCGUCUAGUCCAGACCUGGCCCCAUGGGCAUGUCCUAAACCAAAGCAGCAGCAGGAAGUCCAGUCCUUCCCCAGGGCAGCCUAGCAGCAGAGGAGGCUCGGGCCAGCAGAGGGAGGAGGCGCAGACAGUGAGAGAACACUUCCCCUCCAGCAGAGCAGUCCUGCAAGGGCUGCCAUGCCCACCUUGCAGAGCCGGUGUGAGGACCGAGUCCACACACAAGAACACACCUUGCCUGGUGCCUGACAUGGGGUAGGGGUCUCAGUAUAAAUAUUAGCUUCUUACUUUCCUUCCUGUUUCACUGCUCCCAGCAAGGACAAGACGGGCAUCCUGUGUUUCCUUUUCCUGUUGUGUUUCCUAGCACUGUGCCCAGCCAGCAUCCAGAGCUGCCUCUCUUACCCCGGCUCCUCGCCCCUCCCUGGAGCCGCCACCUCCUGGCUCUCUGGCAGAUCAGCCAGCGACCCUGCUUCUCUAACCCCUCAGCUUCUCGCGUUCUUACAGCCUUUCCACCCCUCAUCUUCCACUCCCUACCAUGGACUCCCCCGGGUUUGACUCUUACCUGCGCCAGUGGGGCUGCAGUAGUGGGCACCCGGGCUCACCUGGGUCCCAUCUGUAGAGAGAGAGACGGAGUGAAAGAGCUGCAGGGAGGGGUGAGGAGAGGGAGCAGGAAGGAAAGAAGGUCAAGCCAGGCCUGCUCCCUGCCACUCCAAGCUUGAGCACGCCAAAGCCUGGGACCUCCACCAGAAGCUAAUCAAAACGAGAAGACCCCACCCCAUUCGACUCCUCCAGUCCCCCUGCUGGUGAAAAGGGCUCCCAGCUCCCUCUUCCUCAAGUCACUCAUUCUAAAUGACUUGAACUCAGACUACAGCAAGAACCUAAGGAGGCCUCAGCUCACCCAGCAGUGCCCUCAGCCCUCCCUCCUGUGGUCAGAUACAAUCUUCCCUGGGCAGCCAAACCAGGCUCCCAUCGCCCGAGGGAAAGAAGAAGGCCAAGAGAGACGAAGUCUUCCCCUGUUGCCCAGGCUGGGCUCCUGGGCUCAAGCGAUCCUCCCCGCUCAUCUUCAAAGUCUUUGUUGAGGCUGUUCCCACCUCCCUGGACUCUUGAUUAGCGGAAAAGGAAGCAGCAGCAAGAAGACCUAGGCCCCAGCAGCAAGAGGAAAGCAGGCAGUGGCAGAAGGCCAUAGUCCUGGGUUCAGAGCUGACUCCCUUCACACCCGAGGUUGCUGUCUCUGGUUCUCCUUCCCUGACAUAGGCUGGAAAAAGCUUGAGUCUCCAUGGGGCUGGCAGAGAAGAUGAAGGCUGGUGGUGAAAUGGCUUCAGGAAGAUCCAAGAACAAAUAAACAGGAGAAAGAACA